RNAcentral lists this ribosomal RNA (318 nucleotides) under uncultured Coriobacteriales bacterium. RNAcentral describes it as "bacterial SSU rRNA". It matches the Rfam family "Bacterial small subunit ribosomal RNA", at positions 28 to 339 of the family's 1533-position model. Lineage: Bacteria; Bacillati; Actinomycetota; Coriobacteriia; Coriobacteriales. The record is from RNAcentral.
GAUGAACGCUGGCGGCGUGCCUAACACAUGCAAGUCGAACGAGCGAGGGAUGAAACCUAGUGAUUCCCGAGCGAGUGGCGGACGGGUGAGUAACGCGUGGGCAACCUGCCUUACAGAGGGGGAUAACAGUCUGAAAAGACUGCUAAUACCGCAUAAGCACACAGUACCGCAUGGUACAGGGUGAAAAGAUUUAUCACUGUAAGAUGGACCCGCGUCUGAUUAGCCAGUUGGUGAGGUAACGGCUCACCAAAGCGACGAUCAGUAGCCGACCUGAGAGGGUGAUCGGCCACAUUGGGACUGAGACACGGCCCAGACUCC